UAACCUGCCCAAGAGAUCGGGAUAACACCUGGAAACAGAUGCUAAUACCGGAUAACAACAGAUGAUGCCUAUCAACUGUUUAAAAGAUGGUUAUGCUAUCACUCUUGGAUGGACCUGCGGUGCAUUAGCUAGUUGGUAGGGUAACGGCCUACCAAGGCGAUGAUGCAUAGCCGAGUUGAGAGACUGAUCGGCCACAUUGGGACUGAGACACGGCCCAAACUCCUACGGGAGGCAGCAGUU
This 240-nucleotide ribosomal RNA is filed under the name uncultured Lactobacillus sp. RNAcentral describes it as "partial 16S ribosomal RNA". It matches the Rfam family "Bacterial small subunit ribosomal RNA", at positions 122 to 355 of the family's 1533-position model. Lineage: Bacteria; Bacillati; Bacillota; Bacilli; Lactobacillales; Lactobacillaceae. The record is from RNAcentral.